UGAACAGUUACUUUCUUUGCAUUGUUAUAUGUACAAGUUUCAUAAAUUCAAAGUUACUGACAUGUCAUAUACCCUCACUGAAAUGGGAUUCAAGUCUUUUUUGUUGUUUACUAUACAAGUAUUCAAUGCUAGAAAAAACAAGAUCAAGUCAAUGGACGAGCUAAAGUCUCUUACAAGUGUGUGGGCAUUGAUUUUGAGAGGUAAGUCUUUCUUGUCGAAGAUAUUGUAAAAGAUUAGCUAAUAAAAUUUUCUUCAAGGAUUAAUGUUUAUAAUCUUCCUUUUUCUUAACCUAUGGUAGACAAUGAUACAAGUUAAGUUUGCAAGCUUAAUCAGAUGAAAGAGUUGAAUACUGGUCAAUACUGCUGCUCAAUGACUUCACCAAAUUAUUCAAUCAACCUCAGAGAGGCCAAUGGAAUCUGGGACGAACAACAAGUCUAUGAAAGUCCUUUGGACUGCAGUAAUGGCACUUGCUAGCAGAUCAUCUGACGGAUCUCUGGUGGAGUCCUGCCAUUGGGCAGAUGGUAUACCAUUGAAUCUCCGACUCUAUGAAAUGCUUCUAGAAAUAUGCUUCUAUAUUAAUGACUAAACGUCCAUUAUAGAUGAAGUUCGUGAGCUUAUGGAACUCGUGAAGCAAAACUUGGGAAAUCCUAGGAUAAACCAAAUGUUGCACAAUCUUUGCUUUACAUGGGUCCCUUCAAGAUAACUAAAUGCGAUCUGCUGCCUAGAAUUAGCUGAAGGAUUUUUUUUUUUUUUUUUUUUUUUUUUUUUUUAAAGUAAAUGCUGGAGUCAAAAUGCAGAGGAUAUGUUGGAGGGGGACUCAAAAUAUUGGUGAAGGGUGUUUCCUUGAUUAGAAGAAAGGACAUGUUAGCUCAAGAAGUGUUCAAUGAGAUUCUUGGUUGGAGUUCAAUGUAAGAUUAUAGGAUUGAUGAACUUGUAGAUAAGGACAUGAGUAGUCGAUAUAAAAGAUGGUUUGACUUUGAAAUCGAAGCAUUUGAACUCAGAAUAGAGAUUGAGGAUCGGGGUUCUUAAUUUUUUUUGUUAGAUAAAAAAUUUAUAAAAGUUUGUUCUUAUUUCAACAGUUUCUUUUAUUAUUAAAGUGUAUGGAUUCGAAUUCGUAAUGAAAUUAUUAUUUUUUGUAGUCCAAAAGCUCUUGGUAAG
RNAcentral lists this long non-coding RNA (1158 nucleotides) under Olea europaea subsp. europaea. The record is from RNAcentral. Lineage: Eukaryota; Viridiplantae; Streptophyta; Magnoliopsida; Lamiales; Oleaceae.